GACGGAGGGUGCAAGCGUUGCUCGGAAUCACUGGGCGUAAAGGGUGCGUAGGCGGUCUCGCAAGUCUGGCGUGAAAGCCCAAGGCUCAGCCUUGGAAGUGCGCUCGAAACGGCGAGGCUGGAGUGCCGGAGGGGAGAGUGGAAUUCCCGGUGUAGCGGUGAAAUGCGUAGAGAUCGGGAGGAAUACCGGUGGCGAAGGCGGGUUGCUGGGCUGACACUGACGCUGAUGCGCGAAAGCCAGGGGAGCGAACGGG
Molecule: ribosomal RNA, 253 nt
Filed under: uncultured bacterium
Lineage: Bacteria
Description: partial 16S ribosomal RNA
Rfam family: Bacterial small subunit ribosomal RNA
Source: RNAcentral